UACGAAGGGUGCAAGCGUUACUCGGAAUUACUGGGCGUAAAGCGUGCGUAGGUGGUGAGUUAAGUCUGUCGUGAAAGCCCCGGGCUCAACCUGGGAAUGGCGGUGGAUACUGGCUCGCUAGAGUGCGGUAGAGGAGAGUGGAAUUCCCGGUGUAGCAGUGAAAUGCGUAGAGAUCGGGAGGAACAUCAGUUGCGAAGGCGGCUCUCUGGACCAGCACUGACACUGAGGCACGAAAGCGUGGGGAGCAAACAGG
RNAcentral lists this ribosomal RNA (253 nucleotides) under uncultured bacterium. RNAcentral's name for it is "partial 16S ribosomal RNA". It matches the Rfam family "Bacterial small subunit ribosomal RNA", at positions 524 to 776 of the family's 1533-position model. The record is from RNAcentral.